Ictalurus punctatus (channel catfish) is the source of this 2524-nucleotide long non-coding RNA. Lineage: Eukaryota; Metazoa; Chordata; Actinopteri; Siluriformes; Ictaluridae. The record is from Ensembl.
CCCACAGUCUGGCUGGAUGUCAGAAAGUUCCAGCUGUCUCAACAUGUCUGGAUUUGGGAGCUGCACUGGAGAACUGCGUGAUGUACGAUAGUGCAGUCUCUGAAGCAGGACCCGUUGGCCCAGAAACAAAGACUCGCCUACAAACUGGAGCAGCUCAUUGCUGACAUGGAUCAUGAGAGCUGAUCUGAGAUCCCCGACCCUACCCCACCCCAUCCCACCUCCCCCCCAAAAAAUGGACAAAAAUCAUCAACUGAUCAACUGAGAAUGAACUGAAGUGAGAUUACAAGUCGGACGAGUCACGGUGACGAGUGGUUAACCUUCCAGCUUGAUUUCGAAGGCUUCAGUGCGUCACGGUAUCCUCUCACGUCCUCACUUUUUUAAAAAGAGACAUUAAAUACCAUGAAACUAAAUCUCGACCUAGCUUUUUGUGCUAGCAUUUACCACAGCAGCGUAACUGUAAUAAAACUAACGGUGUAAAUAUUUUAGAUUUCCUCAUCGCAGCUACGUGACUCCAGCCUACAGAACACAGAGGCUCUCCUGAGGAAAAGACAGAUAGAUGUUAUUAGAUAAACAGCGCCAUCUACUGCAUGAAGUGAGAAGUUCUGCACCAGUUCUCAACUUUGAGCUAGAAAACAAAUACAAAAAAAUACAAAAUUUUUUUUUUUUAAAUUUAAAAAAUGAUAGCCUCAUUAAAAUUUCAGACUUAUUACAUUCUUACACUUUCAUAUACACGUUUGCUAAUAAAGGGGGGUGCGGAGGUUUUGGGUUUUACAUUAUGCAUGAGAGAAAUAUGCUUGUUAUUUAUUACUCCAAGCUCAUAAACAUUUUUAUUAGCUUUGAUGUGACUCGUGUCUGUAGCGGAUGUAAAACUGGAGCGCUGAAGAGAAAUGACUUUCACAGUGGACCGAUUUUAAUUACACCGGUAAAAAAGCUCUGUGUACUGUACGUGGACCAAGAAUUUAGCUAGGGCCGAACGUCAUGUCUUUCCAAAUAAAAUGCAGGUUUGUGUGUAUGAAAGUGGGUGUUGUUUACAGAAUGUGCGUCCACCGUGACAUGUCCUUUCUCAAGAGGGUUUUGUGCGAUUACUACUUAUAUUAAUAUAGGUCGUCUCUUAUACUUGAAAGAAGCGAACGUUAGCGUCGUUUGUUUUCCGUCACUGUACUGAUGAGCUUCCAGAGUCUUUGUGUACACACGUUCCCUUUCUUACACGCGUGACGGUCACGUGUCCGUGCUGGUUGAUGACGUGUUCCAGAUACAGGGAUUUUGCAACAAACCUGAUUUGUACGAUGUCAAAUUGGAGCUGUAUAAAAAACUUCAGUGUGAUAUUUUAGUCUAUCGAUCAUGAUUCUGAAGUUCACAGGUUUGGCUCCUGACCUCAUCAAUAAUUCAGAUGAUUAUCUUUUUUGUGUGUUUAACCCUAAACAUUUCAUUGUGCUCCCUCGUGUUUCUGCAGGUUAUAAUUUAUUUCUUAUUCUCGUCUGGUUUAAUGUCUUGUCCGUGUGUUUCUUCAUGGCGGUGAGUAAAACCAGUAUCGUCAGUUCACGGUGUAACACACAACCCUGUUUUACGACUUUAGUAAAAAUGUGACUGUAUUUUAUUCAUUUAUUUCAUGUUUUUUUUUUUUUUACAGCUCGAUUUAUUGUGUAUUCAAAGUGUAAAUAGUAAACAUUCCUAUUUUGCAAUUAUCCCCCACACUUUUUUUUAAACAGUUGUAACAAAUUAAAUAAAAUCAACUAAUCAAAGCGUCAGUAUAUGUUAAUCUCUGAUGUUACCAUUGGUGUUACUUGCCAGUCAUUUACCGAGCUGUUAAUUAAUACCCAGCAAUUGUUAGAAACUCUAUAUAAUCUAAUAGUGAUCUAAAAGUUAUUAACAAAAGUUUGAUGGAGUUUCUUUAGUGUGGAAACAUUGUGCAGCUCAUAGACCCGAAUGAAGGGGACAGGUAAAGGGUAAAACUCCAGGAGCCAGAGAGAUGAAAAGAGCUGAAGCUACAGAGGUUCGUCCAUACUUUACAUACCAAGAGCUGUCCACUUGCAUGUAAUGUUUUGUGAAACUGUUCAUGCAGGCUCUGAUGGUGACUCAGACGGUGGAUGAUGGGAAGCUGAAUCCUGUGAAGCAGUGAAAUGUAGAAAAUGCAUGCAUGUUUGUCCAAUGCCACUGUAAUAAGAUCUGGUUUGUUUGUGUGUGAGUUCAGCUUUAUUCAUAUUAUACUGAAUUCAGUGUUGAUUGUACAGAAGCGAUCACAGUUUGCGAACCACGAUAUUGUUAAACAGUUAAGAGGUCUGCCUUCUCAUAAACCAGUACACGCAAAACAUUCAGGGUUUUUAUUUUUAUUUCUUAACUUUAUUCUAAACUUCACACCCUGCCUUCACUUCAUCGAGCGACUGUCACUUGAAGUUUUUAUUUAUUCUGUGGACGGUUGGAGAAGGAAUGGAAGAACGAACUGUAGUAGUCACAAUGCAUAUCGUCUCCUGUAUAAUUAAUAAUCACAGGGUUUCAGAUGUAUCUUAAUACUGUAAUAAAUCCC